Molecule: small nucleolar RNA, 132 nt
Organism: Manis pentadactyla (Chinese pangolin)
Lineage: Eukaryota; Metazoa; Chordata; Mammalia; Pholidota; Manidae
Product: small nucleolar RNA SNORA61
Exons: 1
Source: RefSeq, a predicted model, not a curated record
ACUCUCCAGUUCCUUUUCCCAUCAGAUCUGAGCACUCGUCUUAGUGAUCAAAAAAGGAGGAAAAGAAAUACUGAGGCUGGCCUCACAGUGUCUGUAAUCUUGUGUAUAUAGCAUGUGGGCUAGCUGACAAGG